GGUUGAUUUCAGCUGUUUUGUCUCCACAAACUCUAUCUGGAGAUGCGAAAAAGUGGCCAAAAACAUCUCAAGGAAUACACUGGAAGGGUAUGCAUCACAUGCAGUGCAUCAUAUAUAGAAAUUACACAAGACCAUGGACCUUUGGUGGGC
Long non-coding RNA from Spinacia oleracea (spinach), 150 nucleotides. RefSeq lists it as uncharacterized. The transcript has 3 exons. The record is from RefSeq and is a predicted model, not a curated record. NCBI's taxonomy places the organism in Eukaryota, Viridiplantae, Streptophyta, Magnoliopsida, Caryophyllales, Amaranthaceae.